This 436-nucleotide long non-coding RNA is filed under the name Sorghum bicolor (sorghum). RNAcentral describes it as "long non-coding RNA (SBIC_LNC012196)". Lineage: Eukaryota; Viridiplantae; Streptophyta; Magnoliopsida; Poales; Poaceae. The record is from RNAcentral.
ACAAACAUCCACAUAUUUAUCUUAAGUAUAUCUAUCAUUUGUCACUGUUUUGUUCAUCACCUACAGUCCACUGAAAAACCCACAAAAAAAUCCUAAAGCCCUUUGACGGUACUGUUAUCUUGUGUUUUGUGUUCAUCAAGUUGCUAGUCACCCUCUUUACAUAUUUUGUAUCGUGUUUCAUUUGUAUCCACACCCCUGUUAGUAAAAAAAGAGUUAAAAAUCAGAGAACAAAAAGAAGUUCAGAGAAAAAAAACAGAGAUAGAAAGAUCCAAAAGAAAAGUAAAAGAAGAGGAAAGGGGUUAUAUUGCGGUUUGCUCACAGAAAAUUUAGUUUACAUAUUAAGAUUCUUGGGGAUUUAUAUACCAGCAAUAUUAUAUCUUUUGAGCACAUCAAACCACUUGAUUUACAGUACCGUAGCCUCCCUUGUUUAGCCACC